Long non-coding RNA from Eriocheir sinensis (Chinese mitten crab), 601 nucleotides. RefSeq lists it as uncharacterized. The transcript is spliced from 4 exons. The record is from RefSeq and is a predicted model, not a curated record. NCBI's taxonomy places the organism in Eukaryota, Metazoa, Arthropoda, Malacostraca, Decapoda, Varunidae.
AGGAAUCCUCCAGCCAAGGCCAGGUAGUCACUCAGUCGCUCCCAGUCCGUGCCGGCGAGAAGAGGCAAGGAGCAGCGCAGGACUCUCUUAAGUCUUUACCCAGGAGCAGCGGACGCGACGAAUCCUGCGCCUGAGUCCUGUACACGCUUGGCAGUCACGACGAAGUCAUGAAGGUCACCGGCUGCAAGGUUGUGGCGACGGUGGCGCUGCUGAUGGUGCUGUUGGUGGUGCUGGGACCAUCCAUCACAGCGGCACAGGCGAGCUUGAAGGACCUCCUACCAAAGAUCAUCGACUCAUCUUUUAUCGGGCUGUGGAGGGGCCGUCCGGGAGUCAGACCUUCAGCGGGUGCCAUACUACCCUGUGGCAGCCCCCCGUGUAGAAGGCCACUCAUCACCCAGGGAUAACCCCAGUGACCAGCGAGGACAGAGCCCACUUCCCCCUCUCUCUCCCUCCCUCUCCUUCCCUCUCUCUCUCUCCCUCUCGUAACCUAUCGUGUCCCCGGCCUUCCUUCCUUCCUUUCUCCAAAACACACACACACACACACACACACACACACACACACACACACACACACACACACACACACACACACACACACACA